GACGGAGGGUGCAAGCGUUGUUCGGAUUGACUGGGCGUAAAGGGCGUGUAGGCGGUUGCCCAAGUCCGAUGUGAAAGCCCGGGGCUUAGCCUCGGAAGUGCAUCGGAAACUAGGCAGCUGGAGCGCGAUAGAGGAGGGUAGAAUUCCUGGUGUAGCGGUGAAAUGCGUAGAUAUCAGGAGGAAUACCGGCGGCGAAGGCGGCCCUCUGGAUCGUUGCUGACGCUGAGACGCGAAAGCGUGGGGAGCAAACAGG
RNAcentral lists this ribosomal RNA (253 nucleotides) under uncultured bacterium. RNAcentral's name for it is "partial 16S ribosomal RNA". It matches the Rfam family "Bacterial small subunit ribosomal RNA", at positions 524 to 776 of the family's 1533-position model. The record is from RNAcentral. RNAcentral also lists the same sequence under 1 other name.